This 465-nucleotide ribosomal RNA is filed under the name uncultured bacterium. Its description in RNAcentral is "partial 16S ribosomal RNA". It matches the Rfam family "Bacterial small subunit ribosomal RNA", at positions 338 to 795 of the family's 1533-position model. The record is from RNAcentral.
CCUACGGGGAGCUGCAGUGGGGAAUAUUGCGCAAUGGGCGAAAGCCUGACGCAGCGACGCCGCGUGAGGGAUGAAGGUCUUCGGAUCGUAAACCUCUGUCAGCAGGGAAGAACGGUCACUGUGCUAAUCAGCCGUGAAUUGACGGUACCUGCAAAGGAAGCACCGGCUAACUCCGUGCCAGCAGCCGCGGUAAUACGGAGGGUGCGAGCGUUAAUCGGAAUUACUGGGCGUAAAGCGCUCGUAGGCGGUAUGUCAAGUCAAGGGUGAAAUCCCCGCGCUCAACGUGGGAACUGCCUUUGAAACUGGCAAACUGGAGGGGGUGAGAGGAUAGUGGAAUUCCAGGUGUAGGAGUGAAAUCCGUAGAUAUCUGGAGGAACAUCAGUGGCGAAGGCGACUAUCUGGCACAUAACUGACGCUGAGGAGCGAAAGCGUGGGUAGCAAACAGGAUUAGAUACCCCAGUAGUC